Molecule: unclassified non-coding RNA, 111 nt
Organism: Cercocebus atys (sooty mangabey)
Lineage: Eukaryota; Metazoa; Chordata; Mammalia; Primates; Cercopithecidae
Rfam family: Y RNA
About the family: Y RNAs are components of the Ro ribonucleoprotein particle (Ro RNP), in association with Ro60 and La proteins.
Source: Ensembl
GGCCAGUCUGAAGAUAGUGAAGUAUCUCAGUUGAUUGUUCACAGUUCGUUACAGAUCUUACUUCUUGUUCUGCCCUUCCCCCUUCUCACUACUGCACUUGACUAAUUAAAA